CCUACGGGUGGCAGCAGUGAGGAAUAUUGGUCAAUGGACGAGAGUCUGAACCAGCCAAGUAGCGUGAAGGAUGACUGCCCUAUGGGUUGUAAACUUCUUUUAUAAAGGAAUAAAACGAGGCACGUGUGCCUUUUUGCAUGUACUUUAUGAAUAAGGAUCGGCUAACUCCGUGCCAGCAGCCGCGGUAAUACGGAGGAUCCGAGCGUUAUCCGGAUUUAUUGGGUUUAAAGGGGGCGUAGAUGGGUUGUUAAGUCAGUUGUGAAAGUUUGCGGCUCAACCGUAAAAUUGCAAUUGAUACUGGCAGUCUUGAGUACAGUUGAGGUAGGCGGAAUUCGUGGUGUAGCGGUGAAAUGCUUAGAUAUCACGAAGAACCCAGAUUGCGAAGGCAGCUUACUAAACUGUGACUGACAUUGAUGCUCGAAAGUGUGGGUAUCGAACAGGAUUAGAUACCCGUGUAGUC
This 460-nucleotide ribosomal RNA is filed under the name uncultured bacterium. RNAcentral's name for it is "partial 16S ribosomal RNA". It matches the Rfam family "Bacterial small subunit ribosomal RNA", at positions 338 to 795 of the family's 1533-position model. The record is from RNAcentral.